UAAGGAAUAUUGCUCAAUGGGAGAAAUCCUGAAGCAGCAACGCCGCGUGGAGGAUGAAGGGUCUAUGACUUGUAAACUCCUGUAAAGAAGGAAAAAAUUCCCAUUUGAUGGGAGAUGAUGGUACUUCUGGAGUAAGCCCCGGCUAACUACGUGCCAGCAGCCGCGGUAAUACGUAGGGGGCAAGCGUUGUCCGGAUUUACUGGGUGUAAAGGGUGCUCAGGCGGAUUUGUAAGUCAGAGGUGAAAUCUUACAGCUUAACUGUGAAACUGCCCUUGAUACUGCAAGCCUAGAGUAUGGAAGAGAGUGAUGGAAUAUCUGGUGUAGCAGUGAAAUGCGUAGAUAUCAGAUAGAACACCAAUGGCGAAGGCAGUCACUUGGUCCAUUACUGACGCUAAAGCACGAAAGCGUGGGUAGCAAACA
RNAcentral lists this ribosomal RNA (420 nucleotides) under uncultured bacterium. RNAcentral describes it as "bacterial SSU rRNA". It matches the Rfam family "Bacterial small subunit ribosomal RNA", at positions 355 to 774 of the family's 1533-position model. The record is from RNAcentral.